GAGGACUGCUCUUCACAUUGCAGCGUGUCGAGGCUUCCAAGAUAUAGUGAAAGAGAUCAUUUCUAAAUGCCCAGGUUGCAGCGAACUUACUGACAAAAGAGGCUGGAAUGUUCUUCACUAUGCAGUGAUCAGCAAAAAUGAUGAAGUAAUAAAAGCAGUGCUCCGUCAAGGUUCAUCAUUUAUUUACCUUUUAGAUGGGAAAGAUGUUAAAGGGAAUACGCCUAUCCAUCUAUAUAGGGCUUAUCAUCCUGAAUUCUGUGUUCCUUCUUUCAUAAAAGAAGGAGAGACUGAAGAAAAUCAAAAAGGAGAAGGAGAUGCUGCAAUGUUCGAGUUUUGGAGAAAACUGGACCAUAAAAUUCAAUUCUCAGGAAGCUUAUCCUCAAAGAAGCAAGAAAAUUUAAAAUUGAUGAAAGACCUUGGCACUGGACCACUGGGGAAAAUUGAUCCAACACCACGGAAGGAAUUUCUGAAGGAAUUUCCGAAGGAAUGUCUGAAGGAAUUUCUGAAGGAAAAAGAAGAAAAGAGGAAAAAAGAUAUGGCAAAAAAAUUUGAACAAGUCAAAGAGUCUCAUUUGGUGGCUGCGGCACUUAUCGCAACAGUAGCCUUUGCUGCAGCGUUCACUUCACCUGGCGGUUAUAUAAGUGAUGAAAAUAAUUUGAAAAAGGGGACUCCUAUCCUAAGCGGGAAUCCAGCUUUUAAAGCAUUUAUCAUAU
RNAcentral lists this unclassified non-coding RNA (713 nucleotides) under Hevea brasiliensis (rubber tree). The record is from RNAcentral. Lineage: Eukaryota; Viridiplantae; Streptophyta; Magnoliopsida; Malpighiales; Euphorbiaceae.